GCCUUAGGAGGCAUAUGUACGACUGAUAAGUUGUUCAGAUCUUCAUGUGCAUAGUUUUUCUCUUUUUAUUGACUUGAGAUCAGUCAAGCUGUUUCAGUAUUUCGGCAUGUUGUUCUCGGCUGACGAUCAUCUUUUUUUUCCCGUGAAAAUGUAUAGGGUUCGCAGAGCUGUCACCGCUGUUCGGCACACUGUUGCACCAGGGGCAAGACUCUGGCAUGAGCAUGCCUCCACAAGACUGCAGCAUGACGGAUCAGAUGACUCCACAUUGUUUCGUGCAGUCAGUACCCCAUAUCACACUGACGGGCAGACAGCAGUUGCAUCACUUUCUGCUAAAGAACAAGCCCUGUUCUCUCACAUCGCAGACAAAUGUUCACAACUCGGCGAGUGGUGCGUAUUCCAUCACAUUCUGGACAGACUCGCAGAUGGUGGAGAAUUUGGAGGGCUGCAUUGACGAUCCACUCAACUGUGUGCACAGUGCCCAGAUGCCAUCUUGCUGUUAUAGCUAUGGUGUUUAUGUGACUUUCGCAUUUGAGUUUCUGAUGAACGGUGAUCUCCAGGAUGUUAACACUGGAGGACUCUUGUAUGGUACUGCCAUUGAAAGUCAGGUAAGGGUCCAGUGCAGAUCUCUCUUAUUACCUCCGCCACCGAAGGUGAAGGAGGUUAUGUUUUCACGCCUUUCUGUCUAUUUGUUACUUGCAAAAUCGAAGAUUUUUCAAGUAUAUUGGUCAGUCGAUUUUGUAAUUCUGUCUGUCUGUUUGUCUGAUUAUCACCUACAGGUCACAAUUUUAAACCAAUCUUCACGAAACUUCACCACAUGGUCGAGUUUGUUAUAAGGAAGAAACCUAUUAUUUUUGAGGUCAAAAGGUCAACAUAGACCAAAGGUUUGUUGCAGCCAAAAUGGGCUUGCUCCUCAUUUUCAGCUGUGCUUGGUGCUGCUUGUAGCAUAACUUUUAAAAGGCACUCUUCACUGAACCAAGCUUGGGUUCUUGGUUUGAUUGUGAUGGAGGAGUGAGGUAUGUACCUGGUCAUAAAGUUGCAUAAUGUGGUUGGAUACUUUUCUGCUGCUGUUAAUGGUCCACAGUACCUCAUGACGGAUUCCCAGUUUUAGGUUGCCACCUCUGUUCCUCAUAUGCCCCACUUGACAUCAUGUUUAUACCACACCACCUGAUGGAUAUUUUUUAUUUCAUUGAUGCAUAUCAGAAUUUGCCUUCACAAGUACAAUACUGUGGUUGCUCUUUUCAUUGAUGUCUUUCCAAUUCUGCAACAGGUGAGUUUGUCAAGCAGUUUGCAUCAUAUUAGUUAUUUUGCAACCCAAAUGCAGGCCCGGUCUGGAAAUCAUAUCCUUCAGGACUUUGCCAGGUCAUUUGGUUUGUCUUUUUGAGCUAAUCAGGUGACCACAAAGCAUCUUAUAGUGCUCUACACAGUACAUCAUCAUCAUCAUCAUCAUCAUCAUCAUCAUCAUCAUCAUCAUCAUCUUAUGGCCGUUUCCAUGUAUCCAUAUACAUAUAUAUGAAUAUAUGUAUGUAUAUGUGUAUAUUGUUGCGGUCUUCGCGCCCG
Eptatretus burgeri (inshore hagfish) is the source of this 1557-nucleotide long non-coding RNA. Lineage: Eukaryota; Metazoa; Chordata; Myxini; Myxiniformes; Myxinidae. The record is from Ensembl.